ACUCUUAUUUAGGGGGUUAAAAGAGCACGUGCCUUCUAAGCAUGUGGUCACAGGUUCGAAUCCUGUAGGGCGUGCCA
RNAcentral lists this transfer RNA (77 nucleotides) under Vibrio cholerae. RNAcentral describes it as "tRNA-Arg". The stretch from base 15 to 66 matches the Rfam family "tRNA", at positions 9 to 63 of the family's 71-position model. From Rfam's summary of the family: Transfer RNA (tRNA) molecules are approximately 80 nucleotides in length. Their secondary structure includes four short double-helical elements and three loops (D, anti-codon, and T loops). Further hydrogen bonds mediate the characteristic L-shaped molecular structure. tRNAs have two regions of fundamental functional importance: the anti-codon, which is responsible for specific mRNA codon recognition, and the 3' end, to which the tRNAs corresponding amino acid is attached (by aminoacyl-tRNA synthetases). tRNAs cope with the degeneracy of the genetic code in two manners: having more than one tRNA (with a specific anti-codon) for a particular amino acid; and 'wobble' base-pairing, i.e. permitting non-standard base-pairing at the 3rd anti-codon position. The record is from RNAcentral. Lineage: Bacteria; Pseudomonadati; Pseudomonadota; Gammaproteobacteria; Vibrionales; Vibrionaceae.